CCUAGAGGCUGGGCCCCCACUGGGCAAAAGACUGUACACAUCCAGAACAAAGAGACCAUCAAAGAUACCCUCCAGCAACGCGAUCUUUGCAAAUUUAACAAAGUUAAAGAGUAUUUUGCCAUAUUAUUAUACAGUCUGCCUCUAAGGGAGACAAAGGCAGCAGCCAAAAGAGGAGACUUCUGCAACCUGCUGCUGCAAAAUGGGGAGGGGGCAAGACUGACAUGCUUUGAGAGAAGACUUUCCAGGACUGGGAAGUGGGAGCAGCAGCAUUCCUGCAGAUCAUAGCAGAGCCCAGAUGAUAAAAUGUGAUCCUUGAAAAGGAGACAGACUGGAGUAGAUUACAUAUAGGAGCUUUAGAAACUGACUAGGAAAUUGUUGAAUGUAUUGCCAAAGACCAGGGCAACUAACUCCUCUCCUGGAGUAUGGCUAUAUAGAUAUACCCUCUCUUAACUAUGCUAAAUAUUUUGUCACUGUGACUGUCUUCAAAGUGCACAGUAUGGAUCCACACAAAACACAAGUCGUGCUUCUGGGGAGCAGGGACACAGGUCAAUACAGAUCAGUUAUUAAAUAACAGGUGGUAAGCACAGGCUGGCAUGUCAUCAGGCACCACCGUCAGCAGAUCUACAGGAAUAAGCAGUGAUGAGACCUUGCAGAUUUUCCAAAACUGCUGGAACUUUCUUCGGAAGUUUUGGAUUUCAUAAAACUGUUUCCUCCUUUAAUUUAAAACAUUUUUCCCCAAGAGAAAUUUAAUUUAAAAAAAGAAAGGCAACUUCUGGCUUUUCACCUGGGGGCAGUGCUGGAUGUGGGCAUGUAGCUAUAGCAGUUGAGCCAAAGCACGUCAACACAUUCUGCCAGAGCAAUCCAAAAGCUCGA
Molecule: long non-coding RNA, 873 nt
Organism: Dermochelys coriacea (leatherback sea turtle)
Lineage: Eukaryota; Metazoa; Chordata; Testudines; Dermochelyidae
Exons: 3
Source: RefSeq, a predicted model, not a curated record